Molecule: transfer-messenger RNA, 259 nt
Filed under: Lysobacteraceae bacterium
Lineage: Bacteria; Pseudomonadati; Pseudomonadota; Gammaproteobacteria; Lysobacterales; Lysobacteraceae
Description: Xanthomonadaceae bacterium partial transfer-messenger RNA
Rfam family: transfer-messenger RNA
About the family: Bacterial tmRNA, also known as 10Sa RNA or SsrA, is named for its dual tRNA and mRNA-like properties. Its role is to liberate the mRNA from a stalled ribosome.
Source: RNAcentral
CAACGACGACAACUACGCUCUCGCCGCUUAAGGCGUAAGCCCCGAACCCACUUGUGCCCGUGCUCGUGGAUGUAGGGUCAUUAUCACGGAACCGGCUGUGACGGCUGCCUGUCAGUCACCGCUUAACCAAAACAGGCUGGUUACCGGGUGCGCUUCGCGUGCCGUGCUGCCCGGGAGCGAGACCUAACGGAACGCUAAGCAUGUAGUACCGGGAAUGGAGUGCCUCCGGACGCGGGUUCGAUUCCCGCCAUCUCCACCA